CGCGCAGCUCACCAUGGAAAUGUCAACAAGAUGAACCAGAAAAUGAUUGGAAACCUGGGGUAUUAUAACAUCAAGAAUAGUUUCCGAUCUAGGACGACGUGUGUGUAUUUAAGUUUAAAGUUUAAUGCUGUCAUGUAGACCUGAUUUCCCAAAGCAGCACCAUGAUGGCAAACUCUUUGAAGGAUAUGGAUGGGUUACCCAGUAGACUAGAGAACCUGGGAAUACAAGACGGUCAACCCACAUUAGAGUCACAAGACAAUGGAGUAAACAGACCACCCACCCCCGAAUCACCUGGUGGUACAGAGUACAAUGACUUUCGACGCAAGUCUCAAAUUGAUUUAGAAAAUAUACCAGAUGUACAUCAGUUUUAUCCUGAAAUAAAAGGAACUUAUGGCAAAAUGGCAGUGCAAUCUCCAAUCGAUGAAGAUAGACCUGAAUCAGCAUUUACAGACAUCACAGUUGACAUUCAUGAUGAUGACAAUGAGUAUUUGGAGAAGGUAUCUGAGGUUGAUGAAGACAGAGCAAUGAGUGGCAGUAUUGAUCCAAAGGCAGCUCAACAAAAGUUCAGCGACCAUCAGAUUGUUGAGUACAGAGAAGCUGAUGGUGCAACUGGUGGGGAAGGUGAACCAAGACAGUCUUUAGAUGAAAAGGGAAAUGAAGAAGGUGUAUUUUCUACUGCUGUUGAUGAAGAUAUGAUACGUUUGGCUAAAGAAAGGAUGAAAGAGCGAACUGAUGGUUCAGUGUUUGCCACAGAAAGUUGGACUGAAACUGCAAAGGAGGGCAUUACUUUGCAGAAAAUUGUGGAUGCUAGAAGACAAGAACAUUAUGAGAAGGCUCUAAAACUGAUGAACGACAAAGAAUAUGUGCGGGCAAUUCGAACAUUAAACAAAGCAAUCAGCCUAAACCACGGCCAUGUAGACUACUACAUUCAACGAGCGGAAUGUUUCAUCCAGCUUUGCGAUUUCCAGUCAGCCAUCUUGAACUACAAACACGCUUGUGUCCUUGAGCCUGAGAAUAUGGAUUAUUAUUCAAGACUUUCUUUUAUAUAUUAUUUCCAAGGACAGUGUUUGUUUGAUCAGAAGAUGUAUUCUGAAGCCUUGGAGGCAUUCUCCCGGGCAGCUGAGAUGAGCCCCGAGGUGUCUGGUUACCAUACUAGAAGCAUUGCUUGCCUGGCUGCUCUAGAGAGACAUGGAGAGUGCCUGGCAUUGGUCAACAAAAGAUUAGAGGCUGAGCAGGACAAUCCUGACUUGUUUAUUAUGAGAGCAAGAUUGCAUGAGCUGUUCAGAAAUAGAACAUUGUGCUACUAUGAUGUGAAAGAUGCCCUAGCUCUAAACCCUCAACAUCCUGAGGCAAUCAAUUUAAUGAAAAUGCUCGAUGAACGGGCCAAAGAUCACCGUCAACAAGCUUUGCAACUUAGCCUUCUGGGAAAACCAAGGGAAGCUUUACAGAAAAUCUCAGUUGCCAUAGAAACAAACCCUAGUAUUGCUGGGCUGCAUGUCUUAAGAGGAUCUCUACAUAGAAAACUGCAGGACUACAAUGCAGCUAUUGAUGAUUACCUCCUUGCAUUGGACAAGACAGACCAUGAUGAGGAGUCGUCAACCUAUCAGGAAUCUCAGAGACAGUUACUCCUCACAUAUAAUGACUUUGCUGUUGAGUGCUUCACAAAGGGCUUCUAUGAGGAGGCUAUUAUAUUACUUAACAAGGCUAUCAAAGGGGAGAAGAGGGAGAAGGGGCUCUAUGUCAACAGGGGAGAUUGUUUCUUUAAACAAGGGGAGCCCCACUUUUCCCUACAAGACUACCAUCAGGCCUUAGAGAUGGACCCCUCAGACCAGGGGGUCAGGGCCCGCGUUGCUAUUGUACACAAUGAAUUUGGAAUUAUAGAAUAUGCAGACAAGAACUAUCCGGAAGCUGAUUCCAGAUUUACACUAGCCAUCCAGAAUAAUCCCUCAGUGGGCAGAUAUUAUGUGUCUCGGGCCAGGGCCAGGUAUAUGAUGGAGAAUGGCUCAGGUGCAAGGGAUGACAUCCUCCUUGCUUUACAUCUAGACCCCGAUAACAAGGAAAUAUUCGGCAUCAUGUCACGAUUGUACCCUGGUAAGACAACUAGUGAUGUCAUACGUAGCCCAGCUGCUGAGAAGGCUCGUAGACAACUUCAGAACCUCGUCACGACUGCAUCACCCGUGAGAUUAAAGUCAUUGGAUUCCCAGAGUGUUACUUGGAAUCAAGAAGCCAGUGUUGCUGAUUAUAAAGUUUGUUUAAAUGAGGAAGAACUGGUGCUAGAAUUGGUGAAUGAAAAGAGGAAGGUCCAUAAACAAUUAAAAGAAAAAUAUUUAAAUCGUAAAACCCUGAAACACGACGGUGCCAGAGUGACUGCCUUACCACCCGCACGACCUUAUAAGGUGCAAGGAAACCCAGUGACAAAACAGGAAGUUGUAGUUGAUGCUCCGAAGGGAGUUGGAAAAUCUACCGGAUGGAGGACGUUUAGUCUUGGAAUAGGUUUACGGUGAUAAAGUAUUAAUAAUAGGAAAAUAGUGUGAUAGAGCGGUUGUAAUUGUCUUCCAAAUACAAUCCUGAUGUCAUUUGUCGGGUGGAUUGUAAUGCAAAGUCAAGGAAAGUGCAUAUUCUGCAACCAAGCAGUUUUAAAUUGAUUAUUUCAUUUGCCAACAUGAAUUACUGCCAAAUCCAUAAAUUGCAUUUCACAAAAGAAUUUCACCGGAGUUUCAAGAAAUCUUGUGAACUGAAAAUAUUAAGGACAAUAUUUCAUUUGUGCUUGCAUUGUUCAGAAUAUAUGAAAUUAUUGUGUUGAAUCUAGUCUAAUAUGUAUCCAUUUAGUUUCAUAUAUUAUAUAAGAUGCUAUGAAUAAACAAUUGAAGAGAUAUUGAGAAAUAGAAUGUCUAUCAAAAUAACCCAAGUGCAAAUUCAAUUCAAACCCCCUGUUAGUACCUUAAGUAAUGCCUUCAUGAAUGUUUUACUUGCAGAAAUGCAAAAUGAUGUCUUGCAGACAACCAAAAAAGUGUAAAAGAUCCCAAUAGACCCAUUAAUUGGUCAAUCCUGUAUUUCAUUUCUGUUUUAUGUUUUGAGGAAUCAGAUUUGUAUUUGCACAUUCCUCCAUCAAUGUUAUGCUGAGUGUUUAAUAGUGUAUAGUAUAUACCAGUGACCUCCCCAGCAUUAAAGCAAGUGGGCGCAACACCAACCUGAGAUUUUGAUAAUAGGCCUGCACCCACCUGAGAAACCAUUUGCACCCACUUGAAAAUGAGAAAA
RNAcentral lists this unclassified non-coding RNA (3258 nucleotides) under Owenia fusiformis. RNAcentral's name for it is "misc RNA OFUS_LOCUS11559". The record is from RNAcentral. Lineage: Eukaryota; Metazoa; Annelida; Polychaeta; Sabellida; Oweniidae.